UAUCUCUGUAGAGUCUGCAUAUCAAUAAGCGGAGGAAAAGAAACUAACAAGGAUUCCCCUAGUAACGGCGAGUGAAGCGGGAAGAGCUCAAAUUUGAAAUCUUCAAGGUUUGACCUUGACGAAUUGUAGUUUAAAGAAGUGUUUUCGGUUAGAGGAGUAGUAAAAGUUCUUUGGAAUAGGACAUCAUAGAGGGUGAGAAUCCCGUAUUUGACUAUUCUUUCUAGCUUUGUGAUACACUUUCAAAGAGUCGGAUUGUUUGGGAAUGCAGUCCAAAAUGGGUGGUAAAUUUCAUCUAAAGCUAAAUAUUGGCGAGAGACCGAUAGCGAACAAGUACCGUGAGGGAAAGAUGAAAAGAACUUUGAAAAGAGAGUUAAACAGUACGUGAAAUUGUCAAAAGGGAAGCGUUUGACACCAGUGUUGUUUUUCCGAAAAUCAAUUAAAAAUUGAUUCAUGCCAGGUUGUAUUGACCUUAUCAGCUUGCAAUUUGGUUUUGGGUCUCUUUUUGAUGCACUUUUCGGUUAACAAGGUCAACAUCAAUUUCCUUUGCUGUAAAAAGGUAAGAGGAAGGUGGCUUCAAUUUCGGUUGAAGUGUUUAGUAGCCUUUUAUCUCUGCAGUCGGGGAGAUUGAGGUCUGCAGCGUAGAUCCUUCGGGGCUAGAUACAUUUAUGCUAAGUUAUAGCUUUUCAUAGACAACUUGUUGACUAUGUUUAGUCAUGUAGCUUACUCGUAAGUGCUAUUUUACCUACGCUUAGGAUGUUGAAGACUCUACAGAGAUA
This 776-nucleotide ribosomal RNA is filed under the name uncultured Neocallimastigales. Its description in RNAcentral is "partial large subunit ribosomal RNA". It matches the Rfam family "Eukaryotic large subunit ribosomal RNA", at positions 24 to 634 of the family's 3401-position model. The record is from RNAcentral. Lineage: Eukaryota; Fungi; Neocallimastigomycota; Neocallimastigomycetes; Neocallimastigales.